This is a long non-coding RNA of Drosophila virilis, 1500 nucleotides long. RefSeq lists it as uncharacterized. The record is from RefSeq and is a predicted model, not a curated record. NCBI's taxonomy places the organism in Eukaryota, Metazoa, Arthropoda, Insecta, Diptera, Drosophilidae.
AGACACAAAUUUUUCAAUAUGGAAUAAAUUUGUAUUGAUAUUUGGUAUUAGAAACAAAUCAAAGAGAUUCCCAACAGCUACUGUAACUGGACAUGCCUUAGCCAAUAGAGAAAGAGGCUCCGAAGAAUAUCUUUGAUAGAGAGCGAUGAAUGUCAGCGUUUAUUGUUGAUUUUUCUGCAGCAUGAUUUCUAAUUUGAGGGUAUAUACACGUUGGCAGCUGUGCGUAAAGUCGUUUACAAGAGAACGAGUGCGAGCAAAUGAAGUUCGCGUUGCUGCCACGCAUUAGGGUAACCAAUAAUUUAAGACAUCGUAAACACAUCGUAAAUUUUGCACAAGCAAAUUUAGGCUUUAAUUUUCUAUAAAAGACAACGGACAUGGAACUCGAGACUGAAGACGUUGUCGCUGUCGUCUCGGUUGGGGCAUUCCUUUGCCAGUUGCUGGCUUCGCCGUGCAACUGCAGCACGUAAUUACAGCCCAUUAAUUUUUGUGUGCUUCUCGCUGCUUGCCGCUUCUUUCGCUUGGCGCAUGCAUGAUAAGUGCCACUUGCCCAGCCCACAGACUCCAGUAACUCCGUACCACCGUGCCACAGUGCCACCGUACCCACUUGAGAGACUCAGCCUUCCCCCUUUGACGCCUCCGUGGGCCCCGUUGCGUAUUUGCUUUGAUGAAAAUGUUUCCCAUUACUUGGUUGGGCAUUGGCUGCCCCUCAUGCGCCUGGCCGCCUUCUCCUGCUGCUCCUUCAGGCUUCUCUGUGUGUCUGCUGCCUACCAUCGUUGAUUAUUGUGCAGCAUGUGGCAGCAUGCCUGCGCCUCGGACAGUUGCCACUUGUGCAACGCGUGAAGCCAAUUUGAGCAGCAUUGGGAUUCCAGCUUUGUAAUUACAUAACUCGCAGCUGGAAUUGCGACUGAAGUUAGACUUGGACUUGGACUUGGACUUGGACUUGGUCUUUGCUAGCAGCCCCCUUCGCCCUUCUGACCACGACUUUAGAGUGACUGCAUCCGCCAAGGCCUUCGGAUGGAUUGUUAUCCCAAAGCUGAUGGCAGCGUAAAUAGCCUCAAAUGGCGUGUGGAACGUGCUAAGUCUGGUAUUUCAUGAAUGAAGAGAUUGGUAUGCUCCAUAGGAAUCAAACAAAUAGAUCCAUCAAAUUGUCAUUUCACGUUAAAUUAUGUAGAAGUAUACAUGUUGAAUUGCCAUAACAUAUUUUCUCAUUUAUAUUUAAAUAUAUGAAUGUGCACUUACCACAAAAUCGAUAGUUGUCUUCUAUCAGAAGAAAAGAAACAGCCUAUUUUUCGGACAACACUGUAAAAAAAUGAGAGAAGAAAGUGGACAAGAAUGAGUAUAAGAAAAAGAUACGAGCGAGAGAGAGAGAUAUUCAUAAUCAUAAUUGUUGAAUAGGCUUUGAGCCAAUCUGGCGGAUAUAUACAUAUACUAAUGUGUAAGCGAUCAAUUGUGAUUAUUAAAAAUGUAAUAAAGCGGAUGUUUUAUAUCACACAAUUAUGG